This 954-nucleotide long non-coding RNA is filed under the name Calidris pugnax (ruff). RNAcentral's name for it is "lncRNA (ENSCPUG00000000253.1)". Lineage: Eukaryota; Metazoa; Chordata; Aves; Charadriiformes; Scolopacidae. The record is from RNAcentral.
GAUUAGUUACUGUUAAUCACCUGUUCAUUUAACCUUUUAAUUAAAAAAAAAAUUCUUUUGAGAUAACUCAAAAGUAAUAAUAAUUUCAAGUUAUUGUCCAGUAUCCAUCUAACUAAUGAAAUACGGGUGAAAAUUCCACCAAUUACCCUGUUGAUAAUUAAAAAGCCUUUUAAUAGAAUAAAACUCAUAUGCAUUUUUCUGCACUCUUUCACAGGAAUCAGUAUAGAAAGAAAGAAUGAAUGAAUGUCAGAAGAAACCGAGCUUCACCUCCAGCCAGUGUUACUUUUUUUCCCCCGACGGAGCAGUAACCUGAGGGACUUUAGAUGUCCAGAGUACAGCAAUUAGACAGGAGAAGAGCUAGCUAUUCACAGAGGUCCUCCUUCAGCUCCAGUGGUGUCAGCUAGCUCCUGCUACAUGGAAAAAAUUAAAAUUCAAGAAGUUUGGAUUUAUUUGAAGUAACACCAACGUAGAUCUGGGAUGAUUCCGUUAACAGCACUGCAGUCAUGCUGUGUUUCUGAAAGGAUAUCUAAAGAACUGUAUCCAAGGAGGAUGUCACACUUUUCCGUUCUCAAGUUCAACCUUUUCUCUGAGUGCAUCAGCAAGUUUCACCUCUUCUGAAACUGUACUCUCCCGUGAGUUAUUUAUAAUCGCCUGCUGCUUCCUGUAAGUAGGAUUUCACUUACCUUCCUUCUCUCUGCCUCAGAUUGUUAUAUUUCAUUGAUGCGCUGCUUCUUCACGUAUAAACCUUUCAGCAGCCUGUUUUCUUCCAACUCCAAGACUUGCUAAACUCAAAGGAGACCCUUCAGAGAAUGGAAGGAAGUAUUUACCCUUGGCAGCAGCAAUUUAGAGGCAUACAUAAUAUUUAAUGUGUAGAAUCAUAGAGGCUCAGUGCAUACUGAAACAUCCCUCCUAAGCAUGCAUUCUCUUCAAGUUCACUAAAAUUGAUAGGUUGGU